UCCUACGGGAGGCAGCAGUGGGGAAUCUUGCGCAAUGGGCGAAAGCCUGACGCAGCCAUGCCGCGUGAAUGAUGAAGGUCUUAGGAUUGUAAAAUUCUUUCACCGGGGACGAUAAUGACGGUACCCGGAGAAGAGCCC
Molecule: ribosomal RNA, 138 nt
Filed under: uncultured Caulobacteraceae bacterium
Lineage: Bacteria; Pseudomonadati; Pseudomonadota; Alphaproteobacteria; Caulobacterales; Caulobacteraceae
Description: partial 16S ribosomal RNA
Rfam family: Bacterial small subunit ribosomal RNA
Source: RNAcentral